This 90-nucleotide transfer RNA is filed under the name Ignavibacteria bacterium. RNAcentral describes it as "tRNA-Ser". It matches the Rfam family "tRNA". From Rfam's summary of the family: Transfer RNA (tRNA) molecules are approximately 80 nucleotides in length. Their secondary structure includes four short double-helical elements and three loops (D, anti-codon, and T loops). The record is from RNAcentral. Lineage: Bacteria; Pseudomonadati; Ignavibacteriota; Ignavibacteria.
GGAGAGAUGCUAGAGUGGUUGAAUAGGCUGGUCUCGAAAACCAGUGUGGUACUUGUUGCCCCGAGGGUUCGAAUCCCUCUCUCUCCGCCA